RNAcentral lists this ribosomal RNA (254 nucleotides) under uncultured bacterium. RNAcentral's name for it is "partial 16S ribosomal RNA". It matches the Rfam family "Bacterial small subunit ribosomal RNA", at positions 524 to 776 of the family's 1533-position model. The record is from RNAcentral.
UACGGGGGGAGCAAGCGUUGUUCGGAUUUACUGGGCGUAAAGGGCGCGUAGGCGGCCACCGCAAGUCAGUUGUGAAAUCUCUGGGCUUAACCCAGAAAGGUCAACUGAUACUGCGGGGCUAGAGUGCAGAAGGGGCAACUGGAAUUCUCGGUGUAGCGGUGAAAUGCGUAGAUAUCGAGAGGAACACCUGCGGCGAAGGCGGGUUGCUGGGCUGACACUGACGCUGAGGCGCGAAAGCCAGGGGAGCGAACGGG